This 1871-nucleotide long non-coding RNA is filed under the name Homo sapiens (human). RNAcentral describes it as "HSALNT0292119". Lineage: Eukaryota; Metazoa; Chordata; Mammalia; Primates; Hominidae. The record is from RNAcentral.
CGCCUGGCCUAUUCCUGCUUUUAAAAUAAAAUUUGCAUUUGAGAAAGUUCCAGCAUCUUAAAGGCAGAAAAGCUCUUGUUACCAAAUUUUGUCUAGUAUUUGUUUGCUUGCCUUGCCUCUGGUGACCAAUAACUUUCAUUCUCUAGACUGUGUGCUGAUAGCACUGUGAGUUGAAGGGACCCUGAAUAGCCUGACUCUCAGGAGCAACCCUUUGCCACGCUGGCAGAAAAUCUGUAAGUCUCUUUGAGUCCACACAGAGAUCAAACUCCAAAACCUCAUCCAUCUCAUCUUACCUCUUACGCCAAUGUCAAGGACAAGCAGGUCUAAUCCUCUACAUUAGACACAGACAGAGCAAAAUAAGUUUCUCCAAGCUUUAGGAAAUCCAUCCCUUCAGUUAUAGACUAUGUACUUCAGAAAACCCUCUCCUCUCUGAAUUCCUCUGUGCUGACUGCCAAGGCUGUACAUUAUCUAAUGUUAUCAGGAUAUAAAGGACCAGACUAUAUGGGUUCCAGUCCUGACUCUAGCAGUAUGACUUUGGACGAGUCACUUUUCUUGUCUAGGCUUUAAUUUUUGCAUUUUUAGAAGUGUGAGGGCGAGUCAGUGGAGUAAACUGGAUUGCAGUUAAGCUUUGGAAAUAUAAUACUAACACUUAAAUUCAAAUCUCUUAGCCAAGUCAGUAAGAUGCUUACUUGUGCACUAGUUCCCUUCUCCACUGGGUGAAAGGUUAUUAUAGGGAUUGAAAUAGCCAUCAAGGGCCUGACACAUGGAAGCUAUUAUGAUUCAGUGCCUUCUUUAUGUGUAAGUAGAUGGUGUCUAUGUGGUUUGAGUUCCCCAGUGGCUGGAACUGUUGAAGUGUGAUCCCAGGGAGGGAUACCUGGGUUGGAUUCCCACUGCUAUAACCUCCUAGCUGUCUGAUGACCCUGGGCAAAUUCAAUGUUUAUUUAUAAAAUUGAGACCUUUUUUUUGCCUCCCAGAGUUGUUGUGAGGGUCAAUAAUAUAAAACUUAUAACUCUUGUUGGGGGAAGUAUUUAUUUCACAUUUAUGUAUCCACAUGGAGUGACUUCUGGAUGUGUUCCCUAUCUCCCACACAGGGGUGAGAACAAACUUAUUUGCCUGGUGAAUUUGGGAGAAGGAUCUGAGCUCAGCCCCUUCCUUUUCCUUUUCUGGAACCAACCUGCUCUCAUGUUACAAGCUUGGCAGUAUGUGCCUCAAGUCUGCCAGGAUGAUCUUCUCCUGUCGUAUCUGCCCUGCCACACUUGGUUGGCCCUUAUAGACAAGACUGUGUUGUAAUUAUCAUCACACCCUUCAAAGUGUAUACCUGUCAUUCUUCAUCUAUCUAUCCAUCUACCUACCCACAACUCAGCGAGCCUCUACUUUGUGCUAGACCUGUGAACUCAUAGCCCUGAGCAUAAUUAUAUGCUGAGUCCUACGAAUCUUCCUAGGAAAUCACAUAUAUAUGAAUGAAACAUUUUAUAUCGAUUUUUAAAUGCUCACUACAUGCCUCUGAAGCAGUCAAGCAGUUUAUUGUGGUUUAAUGAUGAGAUGCAUGUGCUGAGGAGGUAAUCAGAAGAAGUGAGAAAAGGAGACGGUGUGAAAUUUUGAAGAUUUUAUAUGCCAUGAUGCAGAAAUAAAAGUUCAGCAGGGUCAAGUAAGUUGUCCAAUGUUCAGUAUGAUGGAGUGGGAUUCACAUGCAAGACUAACUACCACUGAACCAUUUACUUCUGACUUUGCUAUUCUGCUUCCACUCACUGAACAUCUCUCUGAGCAAGGCUCAGCACCUGGUAUGAAGGCUGAAACAAGAGCGGUUGCACAGCAAAUGUUUUGCUAUAAUGAGAGAAUACAUGAAUUAAAUGCGAAUUAAACUGCUUCUA